UGGAUGACAUAAAGAGACCAGAUGGGAGGCUGUGUUACUCUUCCAGAUUUAAAGUGAUAUGGUAUGGAUUAGGAAUGUGAUCCGAAUGAACAAGACAGAAAGGCACCAUUUGAAAGUCUUAAGGAGGAAGUAAAGAACUAGAGGUCUAAGCUCAGAGGGACAUAGGAUGGCCUUUUGGGACACAGAGAUGACCUUCAGGCCAAGACACACUUUGAACUUUCCAGGGAAGGGAGAAUGAUGGUAGGCCGAAUCCAGAGGUACCAGCAACUCCUUCUUUUCCUGAAUUCAUGAAAAUUCUCCUGUGGACCUCAUUAAUUAAUUCCUGAACAUCCUGGCUUACUUCAGAUCUUGUUGAAUGACGUCAAACAGAUGCGAGUAGCAUGAGUACACAUCGUGCAGUGUGUUUAUUGAAAUGGACUUUUAUAUUACCAUUGUUACCCAGCGUGCUACCAGUCAAGGAGGUUUGGUGGCGCUGUUACAAAGCAAGGCUAAAGUCACCAAGGAAGCUGCUUAGCUGCCAGUUCUCCCCCAAUGACGACUCUGUGGUUAUGUGUUGGAACAGGUCACUCCUACUGUUUGUCAGCCGUGUUCACGGGUGGAAGCUCACUGGCCAUCUGUUUUCAGAUGCCUGCUUGAGCCCCAGGCUGUGUGUUCUUUUUUUUUUUUUUUCCCCUCUACUGUUUUCUGCACAAACCAAGCAAGGAAAUCUUAACAAGUUUUAUUGUUAUUGGGGUGCAUAUUAAGUGAAUUAAAUGUAAGGAAGCUACCUCAUGGACAGAUUAAGGGAAAAAAAUCAUAAAUACAGAGGAGCAGUAAAGUG
This is a long non-coding RNA of Peromyscus leucopus (white-footed mouse), 820 nucleotides long. RefSeq lists it as uncharacterized. The transcript is spliced from 2 exons. Lineage: Eukaryota; Metazoa; Chordata; Mammalia; Rodentia; Cricetidae. The record is from RefSeq and is a predicted model, not a curated record.